CCCUUAGAUGUUCUGGGCUGCACGCGCGCUACACUGACGCACGCAACAGGUGCCUGCUCCGAGAGGACUGGGUAAUCAUUUGAGUGUGCGUCGUGAUGGGGAUAGAAUAUUGUAAUUAUUACUCUUCAACGAGGAAUUCCUAGUAAGCGCCAGUCAGCAGCUUGCGCUGAUUACGUCCCUGCCCUUUGUACACACCGCCCGUCGCUCCUACCGAUGGGUGAUCCGGUGAAUGAUUCGGACUUCAGCGGCUCCCCUGGGGUGCGCCGGAGAAAGUUUCAUGAACCUUAUCACUUAGAGGAAGGAGAAGUCGUAACA
RNAcentral lists this ribosomal RNA (315 nucleotides) under uncultured eukaryote. Its description in RNAcentral is "partial 18S ribosomal RNA". It matches the Rfam family "Eukaryotic small subunit ribosomal RNA", at positions 1470 to 1796 of the family's 1831-position model. The record is from RNAcentral.